CGCGUAGGCGGGUCUGUAAGUCGGAUGUGAAAGCCCUCGGCUCAACUGAGGAAGUGCAUUCGAAACUGCAAGCCUAGAGUGCGGGAGAGGAGAGUGGAAUUCCCGGUGUAGAGGUGAAAUUCGUAGAUAUCGGGAGGAACACCAGCGGCGAAGGCGGCUCUCUGGACCGACGCUGACGCUGAGGCGCGAAAGCGUGGGGAGCAAACAGGAUUAGAUACCCUGGUAGUCC
This 229-nucleotide ribosomal RNA is filed under the name uncultured bacterium. RNAcentral's name for it is "partial 16S ribosomal RNA". It matches the Rfam family "Bacterial small subunit ribosomal RNA", at positions 568 to 796 of the family's 1533-position model. The record is from RNAcentral.